UACGUAGGGACCAAGCGUUGUUCGGAUUUACUGGGCGUAAAGGGCGCGUAGGCGGCAUGACAAGUCACUUGUGAAAUCUCCGGGCUUAACUCGGAACGGCCAAGUGAUACUGUUGAGCUAGAGUGCAGAAGGGGCAAUCGGAAUUCUUGGUGUAGCGGUGAAAUGCGUAGAUAUCAAGAGGAACACCUGAGGUGAAGACGGGUUGCUGGGCUGACACUGACGCUGAGGCGCGAAAGCCAGGGGAGCAAACGGG
This 253-nucleotide ribosomal RNA is filed under the name uncultured bacterium. RNAcentral describes it as "partial 16S ribosomal RNA". It matches the Rfam family "Bacterial small subunit ribosomal RNA", at positions 524 to 776 of the family's 1533-position model. The record is from RNAcentral.